RNAcentral lists this ribosomal RNA (492 nucleotides) under uncultured bacterium. Its description in RNAcentral is "partial 16S ribosomal RNA". It matches the Rfam family "Bacterial small subunit ribosomal RNA", at positions 29 to 507 of the family's 1533-position model. The record is from RNAcentral.
AGUGAACGCUGGCGGUAGGCCUAACACAUGCAAGUCGAACGGCAGCACAGUAAGAGCUUGCUCUUACGGGUGGCGAGUGGCGGACGGGUGAGGAAUACAUCGGAAUCUACUUUAUCGUGGGGGAUAACGUAGGGAAACUUACGCUCAUACCGCAUACGACCUACGGGUGAAAGCAGGGGAUAUUCGGACCUUGCGCGAUUGUAUGAGCCGAUGUCGGAUUAGCUAGUUGGCGGGGUAAAGGCCCACCAAGGCGACGAUCCGUAGCUGGUCUGAGAGGAUGAUCAGCCACACUGGAACUGAGACACGGUCCAGACUCCUACGGGAGGCAGCAGUAGGGAAUAUUCGGCAAUGGGCGCAAGCCUGAUCCAGCCACGCCGCGUGGGUGAAGAAGGCCUUCGGAUUGUAAAGCCCUGUUGUUGGGGAAGAAAAGCAGCAGGUUAAUACCCCGCUGUUCUGACGGUACCCAAACAAUAAGCACCGGCUAACUUCGUG